Molecule: non-coding RNA, 74 nt
Organism: Zootoca vivipara (common lizard)
Lineage: Eukaryota; Metazoa; Chordata; Lepidosauria; Squamata; Lacertidae
Source: the annotation of a RefSeq genome assembly
GGCAUCAUAGCUUAGCUGGCUAAAGCACCUGCCUCGUAAGCAGGAGAUCCUGGGUUCGACUCCCAGUGGUGCCU